AGUGGUAUAGAUCAGUGGUAGAGUGCAUGCUUAGCAUGCACAAGGUCCUGGGUUCAAUCCCCAGUACCUCCA
RNAcentral lists this transfer RNA (72 nucleotides) under Camelus bactrianus (Bactrian camel). It matches the Rfam family "tRNA". Rfam says of the family: Transfer RNA (tRNA) molecules are approximately 80 nucleotides in length. Lineage: Eukaryota; Metazoa; Chordata; Mammalia; Artiodactyla; Camelidae. The record is from Rfam by way of RNAcentral. RNAcentral also lists the same sequence under 3 other names.